RNAcentral lists this long non-coding RNA (1811 nucleotides) under Salmo salar (Atlantic salmon). RNAcentral describes it as "lncRNA (ENSSSAG00000098981.1)". The record is from RNAcentral. Lineage: Eukaryota; Metazoa; Chordata; Actinopteri; Salmoniformes; Salmonidae.
GGGCUACCCCGAUGGCCUGGGUGGCUGCAGUAACAGGUCCCUGGAGACAAUGGAGCAGGACGUCAGUGUGGAGUAGUUUAGCGUUGCCUGGCUGGGUCCUCAGGGCCUGCAGGAGGAAGUUCUCCAGAGACGGGCUAGAGCAGGAGAGGAGCAGGGUGGCCAGGCCUUGGAGGUGGGCCUGGGAGAGGAGGACAGGAGAACCGGAUGAAGAGGUGUUGGUGGAGGAGGUCUCGGUGAGGAUCUGUAGAGCUGUGCGUCCGUAGACACUGAGCUCUGCUGCUCUGGAGCUCUUCUCUCCCUCCCUGUCACCCUCCCCCGGGGUGAUGAGGGUCUCCUUGGGGAGGAGGAGAAGGGAAGAGACCAGCUCCUGGAGGAGAGGGGGUUCCAUGUAGGCAUGCAGGGCCAUGAAGGCUCUCACAGGCCGGGACGCCUCGUCGACCUCCCGCCUCUCCCCCAGCUCUCUGAGCAGAGCCCUUGAAACAGCCUUCAGGUAGGGGGAGAGGAGAGAGAGGGAGUCCAGGGGUCGAAGGGCGGCGGCAGAGGUCUGUAAUAGACCCAGGAUGCAGUCAGACAGUUGUGCACAAAGCAGCUUCAGCCUGACAGGGUUGAGGGAGGUAGGAGGGACGGAGGACAACUCCAGAGACAGGAACCACUGCUCCAUACACGGGUGCUUCAGGAUGGAACUCAGCACUGACAACGCCAUCUACACACACAGAUCAGGGAAAAGAUUACAGUAUAUCACAUCACCAGAACAAAACGACAACGAGAAAUAUCCCAAAUCCACCUGGGAUAAGUUACUAAGUUACAGUAAACAAAGAAGAACAAGACUACAACUCUAAAGAUAUCCCUGACGAAGGUCACGGAGUCCUGGUCCUCCUUUUUGAUAUGGCACGAAGAGUUGAAAUUCUGACUACUAUAUAUCUGGUAUACCACCUCCAGUAGAAGGGCUACUGGUCCUACCAGGCUGUGGUUGUCCUCCGCUUCAGAAGACGGGUUGAACUCCAGCAAGAGCUCUGAUCCAUUCAGGAGGUCCACAGCUUUGGGUUCUGCUGCCUUGGCUGGAUCUACUACAGUGGCUGAGUCCUGGUCCAUAGCUAUAGGCUCCGUCUCUGCCGCCACCUUGGGAUCCACAGCCAUGGUUUCUGCCGUCUCCGCUUCCUUCUGAUCAGCCACCAUGGUCUCAGCCUCGGUUUCCAAAGUUGGUUCCUGUGGGCUCUGAAGCCUCAACACCAACCCCUGGAGAAUUCCCAUUAGGACACUGAGCGCCAGCAGCCCUGUGUUUUUAGACAACUGUGGAGAGACAGGAGGAGGCUACGCGUUAGGAGAGAGAGAGACGGGAGGAGGCUACGCGUUAGGAGAGAGAGAGACGGGAGGCGGCUACGCGUUAGGAGAGAGAGAGACGGGAGGCGGCUACGCGUUAGGAGAGAGAGAGACGGGAGGCGGCUACGCGUUAGGAGAGAGAGAGACGGGAGGCGGCUACGCGUUAGGAGAGAGAGACGGGAGGCGGCUACGCGUUAGGAGAGAGAGAGACGGGAGGCGGCUACGCGUUAGGAGAGGUGGAGAGACGGGAGGCGGCUACGCGUUAGGAGAGAGAGACGGGAGGCGGCUACGCGUUAGGAGAGAGAGAGACGGGAGGCGGCUACGCGUUAGGAGAGAGAGAGACGGGAGGCGGCUACGCGUUAGGAGAGAGAGAGACGGGAGGCGGCUACGCGUUAGGAGAGAGAGAGACGGGAGGCGGCUACGCGUUAGGAGAGAGAGACGGGAGGAGGCUACGCGUUAGGAGAGAGAGACGGGAGGAGGCUACGCGUUAG